Molecule: long non-coding RNA, 1705 nt
Filed under: Macaca fascicularis (crab-eating macaque)
Lineage: Eukaryota; Metazoa; Chordata; Mammalia; Primates; Cercopithecidae
Description: lncRNA (ENSMFAG00000053882.1)
Source: RNAcentral
UUUUUUUUUUUUUUGACCUGUGUACUAGAUUGCCUCCUUUCCUGCUCUGAAUUUUAAAAUUAGAUAAAUUAAAGCUGUUAUACAGUUUCCUCACAAAAGUCAACAAAGUCCAAACAAAAAUAGUUUGCUAUUUUACUUUCACCCGUUGAAAAAGGAAACUGUGCCUCUUGCAGCCUAGGCAAAGGACAUUUAGUACAAUAGAUUCUUUCCACCCUCACAAUGACUUGCGGUUCUCUCCGUAGAAAAGGGAUAGCCUAAGAAAUACUACAAUGAAACAACAAACAAACAAAAAACACCAAAAAAAAAAAAAAAAGCCAUGUAAAGCUAGCCCCUAGAGGGAGUCAGUUCAGUUCUGUGGGGCAUGCUCUGUGCCCGCGGCCUGCGAGCUGUUGGGGACCCCAGGGAGAGCAAGGCAGCCUGUCCCUGCCUCCCGGGAGCUAGAACAUGACAAGGGGUCUCAGCACCGUGCCCACCUGUCCCUUUACCUCUCUGGCCCAGAGUUCUUGGAGGGUUUUUCCUUUAUUUUCUUGAGUAUGUGUCAUCUACUUAUUCUCAAAGUAUUUAGCAUUCACACUCUUUUUGCUUUAAAAAGAAUGGCCUUGCAAAGGGACAGAAAAGAGAAGACACAAGCUUGAUGUAUUUUCAUCAAGUUUUGUGGCAGACAGAGAAGUCCAGAUAUUACCAGGACCUUUCUAAACCAAUGUGUGGGGUUUUCUUCAUUCGGAUAGCCACCUUAGGUUGGAAUAUCAAUUUUCUAAUGAGGAGGAAGACAUAAAUAUAAGUGGUAAAAAGAAACAUGACUUCCCUUAAAACAGGCUGGAUAAUCUAUAUCAGCCUUGUGGGUGGAGACUAGUAUUUGAUCCUUGCCAUAUUAUAAAACAUUUUAAUAUGGUUUAGAUGGGAAAAUAUUGAUGCCUUCCUCACAAAAUGUAUGGAUGACAUGAAGUUGAAGAGCUAAUGGCUUGGGUGACACGUGCUGGAUCCAAAAAGAUCAGGGAGACUAGAAUAAAACUUGGAUGUUAAAAAUUCACCAGGAAUCCACAUAAAAUCCUAUAUUUUGACUAAAACGAAAAACUGUAAAUACAAGGUGGGAGAGAGGCAAGAAUUUCUGUUGACUAAGCUCAGUGUGAGUCAAGAAAGUGGGAUGGAACCAUGCAAAAACAAAGCCCACAGACAUGCAGGCUGCGUGAGGAGAAAACUGGUCAGGGUCACAUCACAUUUUGUUUGCAUUUGCCGGAACCAUAUUUUAAGAAGAAAACCGAUCAUCUAUAACAUCAGUUUAUCAAUGCCCCAUCCCGAUGAAGGGUGCAGACUCUCAGAAACAGCAGGAAGGACUUCAUGAGAACCUUCAGGCUGGAGAAGGGACUAGGGCACAAGGAGAGCUCUCCUAGGACCAGGACCAAGAAGCUACAGGGAGGCAGAGUUUAGCUCCUGCAGAGACCCAGCUUCUCACAAGUUGGAGGGACUCUGGUAGGUGGUGACCCACCCAUCAUUGAAGGUGGCAGCAGAGGCCGUUUGCCAGGGAUGCUGGAGAGGGGAUUCAAGCAUCUGGCUGGGCAACAAUGCCCAGGGCCAUCCCCACGCAGGGCUUAGGGGAGUCUAUAAGUAGAAGAGCUUUAGGUGAUUUGUUUGAUGGGGGAAGACAAGUACACAGCUACGCACUUUCCAUUUCUGACUUUUGCCACCCUGUCAGCCAUGGGGAGCC